This 841-nucleotide ribosomal RNA is filed under the name uncultured fungus. RNAcentral's name for it is "eukaryotic LSU rRNA". The stretch from base 240 to 394 matches the Rfam family "5.8S ribosomal RNA". Lineage: Eukaryota; Fungi. The record is from RNAcentral.
UAUAUAAGUUGCAAAGAAGAGGGGGGAAUUUGGGUUGAUAUCGGAAGGAAAGCAUACUCUGCAUUCUUUUUUGUUGAUACCUUUUUCCUUCUUCUUUUUUGUUUCUUCAAACAAACGAUCGCAACUAUAUCAAAGAAAUUGAUUUGGAUGCAUGACAGCAAUGUCUUGCUUGAUAAAAGAAACAAGUGUUUGCCUGAUAUUCAAUGCCAUUGAUUUGGUUGGAAAAUAUAGUUAUAUACAACUUUCAACAACGGAUCUCUUGGCUCUCACAUCGAUGAAGAACAUAGCAAAGUGUGAAAAUUAAUGUGAAUUGCAGAAUUCAGUGAAUCAUUGAGUUUUUGAACGCAUCUUGCACUUCUUGGAUAUUCCAGGGAGUAUGCCUGGUUGAGCAAUGUGAAUAUAUCUUAUCAGAACCUGUGUUUUUCUUUAACCAAGAUGAAUGCAUGGCUUUGGAAUUGAGUGCUUUACCUUGGUUCUUUUUACCAAGGUUCACUUGAAAUGAAGGGAAAACAAAACAUCGAGGGGUGUUUGGUUGGUUGAAUCACAGACAAGCAGAUUGAUUUGGAAAGAAACAGCUUGCUCUAUAACAACAAUGACUUGAUUAGUUGGCUGGCUUUGGUGUGGGUUGAUUUGAAAAAGGCAAAAGUCUUGUUUAGAGCUGUUCUCUUGCUACUGCUUUGUCUUUUCAACUAGCAAUAUAGUCAAAUAUAUAAACAAGCACCACAAAAAACCUUGAUUGUUUUAUGUUUCCACAACUAGGAAAUGGUGUACUUGCUACACUACCACAAUUAUCAUUCUCAACUCAGGCAAGACUACCCGCUGAAUUUAAGCAUAUCAAUAA